CAAGGAGGAAGGUAAAGUCAGGAUAGAAUUUCCUGUCAGCCCCAAACCAAAACUCUUCCACUUCUUCUCCCCAGCCUCUCUCCAACAUGCCAACUUCUCUUUUUCCCCCAGUUCAGCAGCUCUCAAAAGAGCCUAGGUGCAGAUAAGACAGGAAGAAAAAAAGUCUUCACAGAUGAAGGUCGUUCUUACCACCUCCCUCAGAUCACACUGACAUAAAUAUUUCUUAUGCUCCCCAAUUCCUUUCCUUGCUCCACCUUCUCAAAUAAUUGAAGCCCUGUUGCUGACCUGGACCUUUCCUGGUGCGUUAACUCAGUCCUUCUCACUGAAGUCUGUUAGGGAUGCCACAAAGUGGCAGCAGGCCUUGCAAUAACAAAGUUCUCACUGUCACCUAUUAAACCCAGCACCCGCAGAGCUGCCUGUCAGCUUCCAGGUCUGCAUUUAGGAGGGGCGGGGCUCAAGCAGGGUCUCAACUGCAGGGGCCAGACGUUUUUCCUGAGUCCUGUCACAUUCAGCUACAGGGCUGGACCCACAACACAAAGUGCAGCUCAGUUAGAAAGAGGGGCCGUUAGUGUGACCUCAAUUUCUUGACUGAUCCAAAAAGAAGCCGCUGUCCGUUUCUGCCUACAUCAUGGUCCCCCCUCAAAGCCAGAUGGAACCCCAGAGUCAGCCAGUACGGUCUGUGCAGAGUGGAAUGCCCCCUCCCCAUUAGCGGGAACCUGGGAUCUAGGUGUCCUAGCUCCAAGUACCGCUGGCACAGCACUGGGAGGCGGGGCCACAGUUUAGACUGGGUCUAAGAUUCCUCAGGGGCAAACCAGGCCGGACGCUGGACCAGUCCCUCCCUCCAGGCGGCCGCAGCAGGGAAGGCCGGAAAGAGCAAGGGUCCCUGGGGGACAUCCACAGGGGCCUAUCCACCCUUCCCCCCACGACCUCCUCCCAGAUCCGACCCGAAACCAACUCCCCGCAUUCCCACUCGCGGAAGGCCCCGGAGCCCCGCCACCAUGUGUCGGCCGAUUGCGGCCCUCAGAACCCCCCAAAUGGAGGCCAGGGCUGGGGGUGCCGGAAAGAUGAUCCGCCUGGUCCCGAGGGGCGCGUUCUCUGCUGGCGUGCUCGGGGAGACGAGAUUGUUACCUCCUGUGACUCCCACAGCCUGUUUUCAGAUAGGCACUGGUGACUCUGGAUUUCCACAAAUAGGGACACUGAGGUUGAUACAGAAUGCUUUCCCAGGAAGCCUAAGGGAAGAGAGAAGUACUUCCCAAAUAACUGGAAGUGGAGGUGGAGCACCAGAGGACCAAGGGAAGAGGGCCACAUCAUCCCACUCCUCCCUGAUCACAAUUAAUGCUUAAUUUCCAAAGUCGAUGCUUUCUCUUCCCGUUUACCCCACACCACCUUCUAAGUUCACAGUCAUCUUAGAAUUCUCCCUCACUUGAAG
Nannospalax galili (Upper Galilee mountains blind mole rat) is the source of this 1429-nucleotide long non-coding RNA. RefSeq lists it as uncharacterized. The transcript has 3 exons. The record is from RefSeq and is a predicted model, not a curated record. Lineage: Eukaryota; Metazoa; Chordata; Mammalia; Rodentia; Spalacidae.